UUCCCCUUCGGGGGACAGGGUGACAGGUGGUGCAUGGUUGUCGUCAGCUCGUGUCGUGAGAUGUUGGGUUAAGUCCCGCAACGAGCGCAACCCUCGACCAUAGUUGCCAGCAUUCAGUUGGGCACUCUAAGGUGACUGCCGGCUAAAAGUCGGAGGAAGGUGGGGAUGACGUCAAAUCAUCAUGCCCCUUAUGACCUGGGCUACACACGUGCUACAAUGGGCGGUACAAAGGGUCGCGAACCCGCGAGGGGGAGCCAAUCCCAAAAAGCCGCUCUCAGUUCGGAUUGCAGGCUGCAACUCGCCUGCAUGAAGCCGGAAUCGCUAGUAAUCGCGGAUCAGCAUGCCGCGGUGAAUACGUUCCCGGGCCUU
This 369-nucleotide ribosomal RNA is filed under the name uncultured Anoxybacillus sp. Its description in RNAcentral is "bacterial SSU rRNA". It matches the Rfam family "Bacterial small subunit ribosomal RNA", at positions 1013 to 1382 of the family's 1533-position model. Lineage: Bacteria; Bacillati; Bacillota; Bacilli; Caryophanales; Anoxybacillaceae. The record is from RNAcentral.